CAGUCGCCGCGGUAAUACGAAGGGUCCAAGCGUUAAUCGGAAUUACUGGGCGUAAAGCGUGCGCAGGCGGUUCGUUAAGACAGAUGUGAAAUCCCCGGGCUUAACCUGGGAACUGCAUUUGUGACUGGCGAGCUAGAGUAUGGCAGAGGGGGGUAGAAUUCCACGUGUAGCAGUGAAAUGCGUAGAGAUGUGGAGGAAUACCGAUGGCGAAGGCAGCCCCCUGGGCCAAUACUGACGCUCGUGCACGAAAGCGUGGGGAGCAAACAGGAUUAGAGACCCCCGUAGUCCCUGUCUCUUAUAC
This 301-nucleotide ribosomal RNA is filed under the name uncultured bacterium. RNAcentral describes it as "partial 16S ribosomal RNA". It matches the Rfam family "Bacterial small subunit ribosomal RNA", at positions 509 to 807 of the family's 1533-position model. The record is from RNAcentral.